GAAAAAGAAGGGAUGCUGAAACUGCUGGCGCUGAGGGGCGGUGGGUCACUGGUUUCUGAGAGAGGAUGAGUGAAAAUUGUGUCCUUUGAACAAAAAAGGAAAAACGUUUCGUCUAGAUUAUAAACCCCUCUUGUAUAUCCAUUUAAUUUUCCCUUGUGUCCACUGUUUUUGAGCAAAAUGUGCAGAAGAAUGAGCUAGUAAUGGCUGUGGCAGAAGCAAGAACCGCUUGGCAAAGAGCAGUUAAUCGAUGUUUGGUCCAGGAAGAUGCUAAACGAGCUCCAAAGUUGGCAUGCUGCUCAUCAGCAUCACCCUCAUCGAAACAGGUUGAUACUGGACCUGCAAAUGGUGCUGAUGCACAAAAUCCUUCUGGCACAUGCUUCCUGCCUUUUGACAGGAACUCUUCAUAUUGUGAUUUAUCCCCUAAUUCAAGAUGGUGGCUGCAUCUUCAACCUAAUUAUGGGUAUCAAAAAGGCUUAGUGAGUGAACUGGUAGAUUCUAUUGAAGCAGAGAUGGAAAAUAUUGGACCAGUUUUAGAUUCAAUCCCUAAAUAUAACAAGUUGUGUGAUCAGAAUGAGGCAGAUAGUAUUUGUGUGGAUAAAUUUACUGUAGGUGGAUCUCUAGAUUCUCAGGUUACAAGAUCCGCAAGCUAUGUAAACAGUGACUUGGGAGUUGGAAGCAAAGAACUGACAGAUGUGUUUACUGAGAUUUCCAAGGAUAGUCCUAACCUCGAGGACACAGGGUAUCCCAAUGAAGCGAGUAAGAAAGGUCUGGUUGAUCUCACAGUCGGUAAGCAGAUAGAUGAGCUUUCAUUUGAUACAGAAUAUCCCUGGAUUGGUGUUGCGAAAACAGAACCAUGGUGGCGAACUGCAGACACAGAGGAACUUGCUUUAUUGGUUGCACAGAGAUCACAUGAUUUUAUGGAGAAUUGUGAUCUUCCUCAGCCUCAGAACAAUUUUGUUAAACAAGACCGUGACGUGGAUGUUGACAGUAAGAUUUAUGCUUCUUCUAUGGGUCCGAAAGCUGGAAGUAUGCGCCAACAAAAUACGAAUAUUCAUAAACGUGGCAAUCUUUCAUUUGAACGCCCGUCACAGUUAGAUGCUGAAGGGAAGUUGCAGCUUCACACUUGCAAGUCAUCAAGUUUGAAGAACAGUGACACCGCUGGCCAAAAGGUUGUGCCUAAAAUGAGCACAUCUGGAAAUGAUGAAAGCAAGGCCCAACUACUAAAAGCACUUCGUCAUUCUCAAACGCGUGCUAGGGAAGCUGAGAAUGCGGCAAAGCAAGCCUUUGCAGAGAAGGAGCACGUUGUUCAGCUGGUCUUCAGACAAGCAUCACAACUUUUUGCCUACAAGCAAUGGUUCCAGCUAUUGCAACUAGAGAACUUCUACUUCCAGAUUAAAAGCAACAAAAAACAUCCAAUAUCGGCCAUGUUACCUGUAAUGUUACCGAGGGUGCCCAAGAAAAGUAAGAGACCGCAGAAGAAGUCUGCUAGGGUGAAAAGAGCCAAACGUGGUCGUCCCAGGUAUGACUUGAGCAGAUAUGCAGUUGUUUUUGCAUUAGGUUUGGGUCUUGUUGGUGCAGGUUUGCUUCUUGGGUGGACAGUCGGGUGGAUGGUACCGACGUUCUGAGCUGUGUAGAUUGUAUCCAAUUUUAUUUUUUUUAAAUAGUAGUUUUGUAAAGAUUGGUUUACAUGGGAGUUGAGUGGGUGGUUGUGUCUAUGUAUGUUAGUUGUAUGAUCAUUUCUCCAUUUCCUUUGGUCUCAGCUUUUAGUACUUGAAUUGAAAUGGAAUCAUGUACUUGAAGACUAGCAAGCAUGUAUAUAUAUUAGGCAGAAUUAUGUUUUUUC
This 1843-nucleotide unclassified non-coding RNA is filed under the name Hevea brasiliensis (rubber tree). The record is from RNAcentral. Lineage: Eukaryota; Viridiplantae; Streptophyta; Magnoliopsida; Malpighiales; Euphorbiaceae.